GAUGAACGCUGGCGGCGUGCCUAAUACAUGCAAGUCGAACGCACAGCGAAAGGUGCUUGCACCUUUCAAGUGAGUGGCGAACGGGUGAGUAACACGUGGAUAACCUACCUCAAGGUUGGGGAUAACAUUUGGAAACAGAUGCUAAUACCGAAUAAAACUUCGUAUCGCAUGAUACAAGGUUAAAAGGCGCUACGGCGUCACCUAGAGAUGGAUCCGCGGUGCAUUAGUUAGUUGGUGGGUAAAGGCCGUACCAAGACAAUGAUGCAUAGCCGAGUUGAGAGACUGAUCGGCCACAUUGGGACUGAGACA
Molecule: ribosomal RNA, 309 nt
Filed under: uncultured bacterium
Lineage: Bacteria
Description: bacterial SSU rRNA
Rfam family: Bacterial small subunit ribosomal RNA
Source: RNAcentral